Solanum pennellii is the source of this 1626-nucleotide long non-coding RNA. RefSeq lists it as uncharacterized. Lineage: Eukaryota; Viridiplantae; Streptophyta; Magnoliopsida; Solanales; Solanaceae. The record is from RefSeq and is a predicted model, not a curated record. The transcript is spliced from 5 exons.
AGACAGACGAUUUAAAUAACGGAAAAUCAAAAGAAAAUAGUAUCGAGAAUGAUUGGAAAGGUGGAAUCAAGACCAGAUCAAAGGCAUAGAUUCCAAAUCUGUUUGGGUCUCCUUCACCCCAUAUUAUACUAUUCUACAAAAGUGAGUUUCAAUAGGUGAACCAGGCUGGACGUCACCAUGCCUGCCUGGCAAGAAUAAAGGCAAAUUUAUAAUCAGCUUAGUCCCAUGUAUUUAGCUUCUGCCACGUGUUCACACCCUUAUCUAUCUUUUUGCUAUCAUGUGCCCUUCUUUGUUCAGAUGAUGUGAUUUCUCUUUGGUUCCUCCCAUUCUCCAUGUGCUUGCCCUGCUCCUUCGUCUAUUGAUUUCUUGUCGCUGUGCGGUGAUCCUUCGUCCAUUUAUUCAGGGUCUCAACAGCCUUUUCAUAAUGAACACCUUAGAAGGAUCGGUUCAAGUGCCGACCGAAGCAGUAUAUACAUACUAUCCGGUCUACAAGAUUCAGAGAUAGCCCCAGAAAUGGUCACAGGGAACAUAUUUGCAUCAUAAGAGAAUCAAGGCUACCCAGGAUGUAACGAUAACCACCAGGAUAAAUCAAGCAGAGUACAGUGGCAUCGACUUGAAUUUCUUUUCUAGUGGAUGCUUGCUUACCUUCUUAUGGUAUCGUAGGAAUCUAUAUCACACGAUAAGUGCGUGUUAAUUCUCUUCAUAAUCGUGUUUUCUUUCCCACGUAACAGAAAAAUUGAUAUGAUGUUUUUUCUUUUCAUAGUUGAAUUAUAUGACUAAUUUUAUCAUAAAUUGUUGUUGUUACUAACCCAAUAGUAUUAAGCCUAUGGAAACUCAUUUUUGUUGUUGUACUUGUUCCUUCAAAAAAACAUCCAGUAAAUACUCCUCCAGCAUGAGGGAGAACUCAAAGGCGGGUGAGUGAUUACUUUCUCAACCUCUUUAAUUGAUUCAUUUAAUAAGGAUACAGAACCUCUAUAACUGAGUCAUCUCAAGAUUCUGAUUUUUUUUACUAUCUUGAAAAUUUGAAAGUUCAGUUUGUACUUUGUUUUAGUCACUCAUUGUUUCCAUUCAGCUUCUAUACCUAGAAUAGUUUAUAUUUUUAGUUGUAUGAGUGUUGUAUUAUGUUGGAUGAGGACUCUACUGAUUUUGGGUUGUAGUUGUGUACUUUUCCCCCCUAUUGUCUUACUGCUUUGAAAUGUGAUGAUUGUUGUGAGAGAUGAUUUUAGUUUGCAUUGCAUAAAAUGAUUCUCAUAGCAAAAGUUGUCCCUCUUAGAUUUGGUGGAACGUUAAAGACUUUGUUAUAUUUUUGUGAGUAUUUUCAUUUGUUCUAGUUAAGCUUUUUCUGGUGUUGCAAUAAAGUUAUUUAGAUUUCUGAUGCUUUUGCUUUGUUUUGUUUCUGCAACGGGGCAACUUCCUUCCCAGGAUAUUUUGGCCCUGCUUGAGUAUAAACAGGAAAAUAACGGCAAUUGAAUUUGAAUUGUGGCCAGAAGUAAAUUCAAUGUAUUGUAGUACACGAUGAAGAAUUUUUCUACUAUUGUAAUAAAGUUUGAAUACAUUUCGUUUUGUGGAAUUUAUUGAUAGUAGAGAUCUUUAAGCAAUUACUUUAUAAGUAUUGGUUUUACAAGA